UAUACUUCAUUUUUUGGAUUU
This 21-nucleotide non-coding RNA is filed under the name Caenorhabditis elegans. The record is from RNAcentral. Lineage: Eukaryota; Metazoa; Nematoda; Chromadorea; Rhabditida; Rhabditidae.